CAACUUUCAGCAAUGGAUCUCUUGGUUCUCGCAUCGAUGAAGAACGCAGCGAAUUGCGAUAAGUAAUGUGAAUUGCAGAUUUCCAGUGAAUCAUCGAAUCUUUGAACGCAUCUUGCGCUCCUUGGUAUUCCGAGGAGCAUGCCUGUUUGAGUGUCAU
RNAcentral lists this ribosomal RNA (157 nucleotides) under Boletaceae sp. EMF15. RNAcentral's name for it is "5.8S ribosomal RNA". It matches the Rfam family "5.8S ribosomal RNA". Rfam says of the family: 5.8S ribosomal RNA (5.8S rRNA) is a component of the large subunit of the eukaryotic ribosome. Lineage: Eukaryota; Fungi; Basidiomycota; Agaricomycetes; Boletales; Boletaceae. The record is from RNAcentral. RNAcentral also lists the same sequence under 1 other name.